AAGUCUAGAAAUGUUCAGUGGAUGUGGGUUAAUCGACAGCACCAAUUCUAGUACUUGACUGGUACUUUUAUUUAUCGACCAGGAGGGAUAAAUAGCAAAACUGACCUCCGCAAAAGUUGAACUAAGAACCUAAGGAAGAAGGAAAACAUCGCCCCUGGACACUACAAUAGGCCAGUUUCGACUCAAGUGCAGUUUAGUCGAUAAAUGACGUGUCAGGUGGGCCGUCUGAAGGCAGUAAAAGUUUCUUCUAAGUGAUUAACUCAUAGCUGGGCAGACGCGCGCACACGAACCCGUAUCGCAUAUCCACCUCUGUCAAUAUUUAUUCAUAGAGAAAGACAAAGAGAUCGAUAUAUAUUGGCAUUUAUAUACAGUGAUAAAUGAAUUCUGAAAAAAGUAUGAUCAAGCGAAACGGAGCUGCAAUCCGGAAUCUACUGAUUGCCAUAACCUUGGUGUCUUUAAUGUAUUUUGUCUAUAUGUAUCAUGACAUCCAGUCCCGCCUUCGACAUUCCGAAAUUGUUAGUGAGAAGUUUAAAAGAGACAGAGAAUCUUUAUCGUCCCAACUCAACGAAAUAAACUUAGAAAAAUCAAAUAUGAAAGAAAAAUAUUACAAAGACAGACAAGAACUAGCUGCAAGAUUUUCAGAAGCUGAACAAAAGCAUAAAAUGUUACAAACUCAACAUCAAGAUUUAGAGAAUGAGUACAAUAGACUACAACAAAAAUAUGAAAAAUUCUCUGAAGACAACAGACAAAAAGAUAUGAACAGAAAUCAGGAAUAUAUGCAGUUAAAGCAAGAAAAAGAAAUGGAGAUUGUUAAACUCAAAGAUGAGAAUGCUAACAUUGUGCGAGAGUACAAACAAUUGAAAUCGGAGUUAGAUGAAUUGAAGAAGCAAGUUGAACUACAACAGCAAGAGGCUGUUCAAGCGUGGAACUACGCAAGUCGAUUAAAGAAAACAGUUGACCAUUUACAGCUCUCGUUGAACCGUGAAACAAGAACUUCAGAUAUGCUGAGAAAAUACCUCAGCAUAGCAAAGGCUUUAAACAUGCAGAAAAGUGCUGGCAUUGGUGGAGGAGCCGGAGUUGGUGCUGCUGCUGGUGGUGCUGGUGUUGGUGGUGCUGGUGCUGGUGUUGGUGGAGCUGCUGGUGCUGGUGCAGGCGGUAUUGAAGUCAGAGGCAUUGGUGCAGGUGGCGAUGGUGCCGGUGCAGGUGCUGGUGCUGGUGGCCUGGGUGUCGAUGGCGCUGGUGCUAACAGUCAUUUAGGCCUGCCCGGAAAUGCCCUAAACAACCAUCAAAAUGUUGGCAUGGACAAACUUAAUGCUUUCGAAAAUAAACUCAACCCGAACCAUUUGGAACAGCCACAUGAAAGAAAUGAUAUUGACCAUCAAGACGUUAUUCCCAAACAACCAGUUGGUCUUCAGAAUGAACAAAACUUACAAAUUCAACCAGCACAACCAGCCUUUGGAGAUAAUUUACAUCAUGGUGCAGACCUUGAUCACGACAAAGAUGCUGAGGCUAACAACUUGGCUUUACAAAAACAGGAAAUUUUUAAUCGGCAACAUGAAGGUGCUAAUGACCAUAACCAGGUUCAACCCCCAAUGAAUGAUAAAAUUGAUAAUGAUGACAAUGCUGAUGUCAAUCAGUCAAACGAAGACAACGACAUCCUCAACAUGCUUAGUAACCGAAGACAUGGCAAUAACAAAAUACCUCCUGACUUCAACCUCAACAAUGGCCUGAAUAAUGAGGGAAACCAACCAUUGGAGAGGGUAAAUGUUGAAGACAAUCUCGCUGGACGUCUUCUUCCCAAUGACCAUCAAGGAAUCAUAGAAAACAAAAUACCCCCAGAAAUCAUUAAGGGUGACUUGAUUAACGAAAAUAAACUGGAGAAGGACAAUGCCUUUGAACAUGACCUUCAGUUGGAUGGUAGAGAAGUUCAGGGUGACAGAUGGCGAAAUCAAUAGAAUGAAGGGUGAUGUAUCUCGAGGUCCAGCUUCCAAAGAAUAUGGAAAACAAGAAAUUAGAAUCAAAUGAUAACCAAUUAUACAAUGAAGAAGAAGAAGAUGAUAAUUAUCAAUGAACAAUUUCAUUCAUAGAGAUCAGUCAUUAACUGUUAAGGACCUCGUUAAAAGUUCCUGCAAAAGAUUCACCUAAAUUUUCCACAUGAGUUUUCAUCAAUACAAAUGGAAGAGGAAAGAAUAUUUUUUUUCAGGUUUAUUAACCUCAACAUUUCUGUGGUUCUGUGGUAAUGAUGGUGGCUAAGCGGGUAGGACAUUUUUUUUUUUUGUGAAAUACAAAUUUUCAAAUGGCUUAAUCUUUAUAUAUAUAUAUACA
RNAcentral lists this unclassified non-coding RNA (2325 nucleotides) under Octopus sinensis (East Asian common octopus). Its description in RNAcentral is "keratin, type II cytoskeletal 1, transcript variant X8". Lineage: Eukaryota; Metazoa; Mollusca; Cephalopoda; Octopoda; Octopodidae. The record is from RNAcentral.